UCGGAUAUGGUGUAACGGCUAACAUUGCCGCCUCUCACUCCAUAUGAGUGCGCGGCAGCUCGGGGUUCGAUUCCCCGUAUCCGAA
Non-coding RNA from Termitomyces sp. T32_za158, 85 nucleotides. Lineage: Eukaryota; Fungi; Basidiomycota; Agaricomycetes; Agaricales; Lyophyllaceae. The record is from the annotation of a GenBank genome assembly.